AACGAACGCUGGCGGCAGGCCUAACACAUGCAAGUCGAGCGAGGACUUCGGUCCUAGCGGCGGACGGGUGAGUAACGCGUGGGAACGUGCCCUUUGCUUCGGAAUAGCCCUGGGAAACUGGGAGUAAUACCGGAUGAGCCCUUUGGGGGAAAGAUUUAUCGGCGAAGGAUCGGCCCGCGUUGGAUUAGGUAGUUGGUGGGGUAAUGGCCUACCACGCCGACGAUCCAUAGCUGGUUUGAGAGGAUGAGCAGCCACACUUGGACUGAGAACCGGCCCAGACUCCUACGGGAGGCAGGAGUGGGGGACGGUAGACAACGGGGGGAACGCUGAUCGAGCCAUGCCGGGUGAGCGAUGAAGGCCUUAGGGUUGUAAAGCUCUUUCAGCUGGGAAGAUAAUGACGGUACCAGCAGAAGAAGCCCCGGCUAACUCCGUG
This 433-nucleotide ribosomal RNA is filed under the name uncultured bacterium. Its description in RNAcentral is "partial 16S ribosomal RNA". It matches the Rfam family "Bacterial small subunit ribosomal RNA", at positions 29 to 507 of the family's 1533-position model. The record is from RNAcentral.